GACGAACGCUGGCGGCGUGCCUAAUACAUGCAAGUAGAACGCUGAAGAGAGGAGCUUACUCUUCUUGGAUGAGUUGCGAACGGGUGAGUAACGCGUAGGUAACCUGCCUUGUAGCGGGGGAUAACUAUUGGAAACGAUAGCUAAUACCGCAUAACAAUGGAUGACACAUGUCAUUUAUUUGAAAGGGGCAAUUGCUCCACUACAAGAUGGACCUGCGUUGUAUUAGCUAGUAGGUGAGGUAAUGGCUCACCUAGGCGACGAUACAUAGCCGACCUGAGAGGGUGAUCGGCCACACUGGGACUGAGACACGGCCCAGACUCCUACGGGAGGCAGCAGUAGGGAAUCAUCGGCAAUGGGGGCAACCCUGACCGAGCAACGCCGCGUGAGUGAAGAAGGUUUUCGGAUCGUAAAGCUCUGUUGUGAGUCAAGAACGGGUGUGAGAGUGGAAAGUUCACACUGUGACGGUAGCUUACCAGAAAGGGACGGCUAACUACGUG
RNAcentral lists this ribosomal RNA (497 nucleotides) under uncultured bacterium. Its description in RNAcentral is "partial 16S ribosomal RNA". It matches the Rfam family "Bacterial small subunit ribosomal RNA", at positions 28 to 507 of the family's 1533-position model. The record is from RNAcentral.